Non-coding RNA from Schistosoma rodhaini, 114 nucleotides. The record is from Rfam. Lineage: Eukaryota; Metazoa; Platyhelminthes; Trematoda; Strigeidida; Schistosomatidae.
GUUGGUUAUGGUGACAUGCGACCGGUAACUGUAUGGGGUAAAUUAAUUGGUUCAUUAUGUGCUAUCGCUGGUGUACUAACUAUUGCACUUCCUGUUCCUGUGAUUGUAUCAAAC